Molecule: transfer RNA, 84 nt
Filed under: Sutcliffiella cohnii
Lineage: Bacteria; Bacillati; Bacillota; Bacilli; Caryophanales; Bacillaceae
Also listed under: 18 other names
Description: tRNA-Tyr
Rfam family: tRNA
About the family: Transfer RNA (tRNA) molecules are approximately 80 nucleotides in length. Their secondary structure includes four short double-helical elements and three loops (D, anti-codon, and T loops).
Source: RNAcentral
GGAGGGGUAGCGAAGUGGCUAAACGCGGCGGACUGUAAAUCCGCUCCCUUGGGUUCGGCGGUUCGAAUCCGUCCCCCUCCACCA